GUGGGGAAUCUUGCGCAAUGGGCGAAAGCCUGACGCAGCCAUGUCGCGUGAAUGAUGAAGGUCUUAGGAUUGUAAAAUUCUUUCACCGGGGACGAUAAUGACGGUACCCGGAGAAGAAGCUCCGGCUAACUUCGUGCCAGCAGCCGCGGUAAUACGAAGGGGGCUAGCGUUGCUCGGAAUUACUGGGCGUAAAGGGCGCGUAGGCGGACAGCUUAGUCAGAGGUGAAAGCCCAGGGCUCAACCUUGGAAUUGCCUUUGAUACUGGCUGUCUUGAGUUUGGGAGAGGUGAGUGGAACUCCGAGUGUAGAGGUGAAAUUCGUAGAUAUUCGGAAGAACACCAGUGGCGAAGGCGACUCACUGGCCCAAUACUGACGCUGAGGCGCGAAAGCGUGGGGAGCAAACAGGAUUAGAAACCCGAGUAGUCC
Molecule: ribosomal RNA, 425 nt
Filed under: uncultured bacterium
Lineage: Bacteria
Description: partial 16S ribosomal RNA
Rfam family: Bacterial small subunit ribosomal RNA
Source: RNAcentral